Molecule: ribosomal RNA, 510 nt
Filed under: uncultured bacterium
Lineage: Bacteria
Description: partial 16S ribosomal RNA
Rfam family: Bacterial small subunit ribosomal RNA
Source: RNAcentral
GACGAACGCUGGCGGCGUGCUUAACACAUGCAAGUCGAACGAAGAGCGAUGGAAGCUUGCUUCUAUCAAUCUUAGUGGCGAACGGGUGAGUAACGCGUAAUCAACCUGCCCUUCAGAGGGGGACAACAGUUGGAAACGACUGCUAAUACCGCAUACGAUCCAAUCUCGGCAUCGGGACUGGAUGAAAGGUGGCCUCUAUUUAUAAGCUAUCACUGAAGGAGGGGAGUGCGUCUGAUUAGCUAGUUGGAGGGGGAACGGCCCACCAAGGCGAUGAUCAGUAGCCGGUCUGAGAGGAUGAACGGCCACAUUGGGACUGAGACACGGCCCAGACUCCUACGGGAGGCAGCAGUGGGGAAUCUUCCGCAAUGGACGAAAGUCUGACGGAGCAACGCCGCGUGAGUGAUGACGGCCUUCGGGUUGUAAAGCUCUGUUAAUCGGGACGAAUGGUUCUUGUGCGAAUAGUGCGAGGAUUUGACGGUACCGGAAUAGAAAGCCACGGCUAACUACGUG